GCUGCCCUCAGGAUGUUGGGGCAGAGAUGAAGCAGUUAUUUCUACACUCAGUGCUCAGAAUAGUGGGCACUAAGGAUGGUUUAUAGCCAGACU
RNAcentral lists this small nucleolar RNA (93 nucleotides) under Bos mutus (wild yak). RNAcentral describes it as "Small nucleolar RNA SNORA17 (ENSBMUG00000021266.1)". It matches the Rfam family "Small nucleolar RNA SNORA17". Rfam says of the family: snoRNA ACA 17 belongs to the H/ACA family of snoRNAs and is predicted to guide pseudouridylation of the 28S rRNA at positions U4659 and U4598. It shares the same host gene together with ACA43. NB This family has a high threshold value to exclude a large number of closely related sequences that do not appear to have conserved H and ACA boxes, and may be pseudogenes. Lineage: Eukaryota; Metazoa; Chordata; Mammalia; Artiodactyla; Bovidae. The record is from RNAcentral.